This 540-nucleotide ribosomal RNA is filed under the name Deconica coprophila. Its description in RNAcentral is "eukaryotic LSU rRNA". It matches the Rfam family "Eukaryotic large subunit ribosomal RNA", at positions 75 to 615 of the family's 3401-position model. The record is from RNAcentral. Lineage: Eukaryota; Fungi; Basidiomycota; Agaricomycetes; Agaricales; Kuehneromycetaceae.
UUCCCCUAGUNACUGCGAGUGAAGCGGGAAAAGCUCAAAUUUAAAAUCUGGCGGUCUCUGGCCGUCCGAGUUGUAAUCUAGAGAAGUGUUAUCCGCGCUGGACCGUGUACAAGUCUCCUGGAAUGGAGCGUCAUAGAGGGUGAGAAUCCCGUCUUUGACACGGACUACCAGUGCUUUGUGAUGCGCUCUCAAAGAGUCGAGUUGUUUGGGAAUGCAGCUCAAAAUGGGUGGUAAAUUCCAUCUAAAGCUAAAUAUUGGCGAGAGACCGAUAGCGAACAAGUACCGUGAGGGAAAGAUGAAAAGAACUUUGGAAAGAGAGUUAAACAGUACGUGAAAUUGCUGAAAGGGAAACGCUUGAAGUCAGUCGCGUUGGCCGGGGAUCAACCUUGCUUUUGCUGGGUGUACUUUCCGGUUGACGGGUCAGCAUCAAUUUUGACCGUUGGAUAAAGUGCAAGGGAAUGUGGCAUCUUCGGAUGUGUUAUAGCCCUUGCUCGCAUACAACGGUUGGGAUUGAGGAACUCAGUACGCNGCAAGGCCGGG